AUUGAACGCUGGCGGCAUGCCUUACACAUGCAAGUCGAAUGGCAGCACGGGGGCAACCCUGGUGGCGAGUGGCGAACGGGUGAGUAAAGCAUCGGAACGUACCCGGAAGUGGGGGAUAACGUAGCGAAAGUUACGCGAAUACCGCAUAUUCUGUGAGCAGGAAAGCAGGGGAUCGCAAGACCUUGUGCUUUCGGAGCCGCCGGUGGCGGAUUAGCUAGGUGGUGGGGUAAAGGCCUAACAAGGCGACGGGCCGUAGCGGGUAUGAGAGGGAGAUCCGCCACACUGGGACUGAGACAGGGCCCAGACUCCUACGGGAGGCAGCAGUGGGGAAUUUUGGACAAUGGGGGCAACCCUGAUCCAGCCAUGCCGCGUGAGUGAAGAAGGCCUUCGGGUUGUAAAGCUCUUUCGGCCGGGAAAAAAUCGCUCAGGCUAAUACCUUGAGUGGAUGAUGGUACCGGAAUAAGAAGCACCGGCUAACUACGUGCCAGCAGCCGCGGUAA
This 500-nucleotide ribosomal RNA is filed under the name uncultured bacterium. RNAcentral's name for it is "partial 16S ribosomal RNA". It matches the Rfam family "Bacterial small subunit ribosomal RNA", at positions 29 to 523 of the family's 1533-position model. The record is from RNAcentral.